Leptosomus discolor (cuckoo roller) is the source of this 406-nucleotide long non-coding RNA. It matches the Rfam family "HOXA transcript at the distal tip, conserved region 2". The record is from Rfam. Lineage: Eukaryota; Metazoa; Chordata; Aves; Leptosomiformes; Leptosomidae.
CGCACACUCUUUUCCGCAUUCUUCCUCAUGGCCAAAAGCAAAUAUUUAUUCCCCGCAUAUUUUUCCUUUUCUUUCAGGCUCCGGGUUUGAAACCUGUGGAUUUCCCCGGCCAAACAUUGCUUGACUGGCAUGAAUUGGGUCGGUUUGUUUCCCUCUGGUUUCUCGAGGCUGCUUCUGAAAAAUCGAGUUGCAGCGGGGCGGGGGGAGAAGGGGGAAGGGAAGACAGCUCGAUGGGGCAGCGCUGCUUUACAUACGGGUUAGACACGGCUAGAGGCCAAGGUCAAGUUGAAAGUUGCAGUCUAGCCAAUGUGAGAACUGUCAUUCAGAGCCCGAUGAUCUGUCUGAUUUGUUGAAAAGCAAGUAGCCAUGAGAACAUGAAUCUCCCCAGCUCGUCUGUCCCCCCUCC